AUAAUAAUAAAUAAAUAAAUAAAUUUCAAUCUCACCAGCUAUUUUCUUCAACUUUCUGAGUUUGUUCUUUUAGCCUCUGAACUUGGGGAGAGAUGGGAAAUGAGCAUUUUCACGAGUAGGUAAUUAGUACAACAUGGGAUUUGAAUUAAGAGAAUAACAUUAAAUUAAGUUGUACAUAGGACCUUCUUUCAAAUUUUUACAGAGCUCCAAGGUUCUUCAGACCAAGAACAAUCCCAGCACCCAGAAUAUGGCCAACAGAUCCACAAGCCAAUGUAUCAGCAAGAGUGAAACCAGCUGGAUCACCAGUUUGCAGCCCAGAAUCCCUGGCUUCAAGCUUCAAUCCUGCAGUUGCCUUCCUAUUUGCUGAUGGAGCCAACCCAAAUCUCCCAGCAAAUAGCAUUAGGCUUGUUGUGGUCACCAUUAUCUGUCAAUUCAUUUGCCAAAAUAACCUCACUAUAUCAGAAUUUCAUUUUCUGUCUCUCUAAAUUACAAUUAAAGCAUUAAGUAGAUUUUUUAAUCUAAUGACUUUUCUAAAAAAUUUCACGAAUUUACCAACUUUAUAACACAUAUAUGCCGAUUGCACUGAAUAAUUUCUCAAAUCUUAAACUCUACAUAUGUGAGAAGAUAAUGAAAUCUUUACCAAAUUUGUGGGAGAACCAAUGAAAUCCAUGCGGGCACCCAGUGCUCCAUUUCCCUUCCUCCUCAUGGGUUGAGCUACUGCCAGGGAUUUUACAGGGGCAACUGAUAACUGGGGUUUUAACCCAUUGAAUUGUGGGAGAGUGGUCAUCAUAGAGGCUGCCAUUUCCACCUAUUAAUCAGAGCAGCUAAUUCUUCUCCUUUCUUUGAUAAUUUUAUAAAUUGUUUUGGGAUCUAAAAGC
This 878-nucleotide unclassified non-coding RNA is filed under the name Hevea brasiliensis (rubber tree). The record is from RNAcentral. Lineage: Eukaryota; Viridiplantae; Streptophyta; Magnoliopsida; Malpighiales; Euphorbiaceae.